This 468-nucleotide ribosomal RNA is filed under the name uncultured bacterium. Its description in RNAcentral is "partial 16S ribosomal RNA". It matches the Rfam family "Bacterial small subunit ribosomal RNA", at positions 28 to 507 of the family's 1533-position model. The record is from RNAcentral.
GACGAACGCUGGCGGCGUGCUUAACACAUGCAAGUCGAACGGAAAGGCCCUGCUUUUGUGGGGUGCUCGAGUGGCGAAAGGGUGAGUAACACGUGAGUAACCUGCCCUUGACUUUGGGAUAACUUCAGGAAACUGGGGCUAAUACCGGAUAGGAGCUCCUGCUGCAUGGUGGGGGUUGGAAAGUUUCGGCUGUUGGGGAUGGACUCGCGCCUUAUCAGCUUGUUGGUGGGGUAGUGGCUUACCAAGGCUUUGACGGGUAGCCGGCCUGAGAGGGUGACCGGCCAAAUUGGGACUGAGAUACGGCCCAGACUACUACGGGAGGCAGCAGUGGGGAAUAUUGCACAAGGGGCGGAAGCCUGAUGCAGUAACGCAGCGUGGGGGAUGACGGCCUUCGGGUUGUAAACCGCUUUCGCCUGUGACGAAGCGUGAGUGACGGUAAUGGGUAAAGAAGCACCGGCUAACUACGUG